Cercocebus atys (sooty mangabey) is the source of this 489-nucleotide long non-coding RNA. RefSeq lists it as uncharacterized. The record is from RefSeq and is a predicted model, not a curated record. The transcript has 3 exons. NCBI's taxonomy places the organism in Eukaryota, Metazoa, Chordata, Mammalia, Primates, Cercopithecidae.
CAGGCAAGUUCCUCCAUGGCUUGCUUCUGAGUUUACUGUGGACAGUCUGGACUAAGGCAAGGGAAGAGUUUACCCUUUUGGGAAGGCAGAACUCUGCAGGGGAAAUAGGAGAACUUCAAGAUUAAUCCUUAACUGGAAAUGGAAGAAAAAUCAGAUAAUAUCCUUUCUGCCGUCCCCUAAUACCUUCAGGAGUUCAAACGUUUUCCAAGCCCGCGGCACUUGGCAAUUCUAAUUACACAGUAAAAUACCUAAGGUUAAUGAAUAACCUCCAAAGGAAGUUACUUCACAUAAUGACAGCAAUUUCUCUGAACUAAAUGUUAAUAAUAAGGCCUGUAAUACUAUGAGAAGGAAAUGGUGGCAAUUGGCAAAUGGAACUCUGUUGCCUGGUAACAAAACCUGAGGAUUGUUUUGGAUCAGCAAUUACAUACAUAAAACAACUGGCCACUGGCAUAUAACAACAGUAGGUGGAGUCUCACUGCAUCACCAAGG